UACGUAGGGUGCGAGCGUUGUCCGGAAUUAUUGGGCGUAAAGAGCUUGUAGGCGGUUUGUCGCGUCUGCUGUGAAAAUCCGGGGCUCAACCCCGGACUUGCAGUGGGUACGGGCAGACUAGAGUGUGGUAGGGGAGACUGGAAUUCCUGGUGUAGCGGUGAAAUGCGCAGAUAUCAGGAGGAACACCGGUGGCGAAGGCGGGUCUCUGGGCCGAUACUGACGCUGGAGGAGCGAAA
RNAcentral lists this ribosomal RNA (236 nucleotides) under uncultured bacterium. RNAcentral's name for it is "partial 16S ribosomal RNA". It matches the Rfam family "Bacterial small subunit ribosomal RNA", at positions 524 to 758 of the family's 1533-position model. The record is from RNAcentral.